CCUGGCGGCCAUAGCGGGCGGGAACCACCCGAUACCAUUCCGAACUCGGAAGUGAAACCGCCCAGCGCCGAUGGUAGUGUGGGGCUUCCCCAUGUGAGAGUAGGUCACUGCCAGGC
RNAcentral lists this ribosomal RNA (116 nucleotides) under Chromatiales bacterium. The record is from RNAcentral. Lineage: Bacteria; Pseudomonadati; Pseudomonadota; Gammaproteobacteria; Chromatiales.